UUCGCACCCUGGGGUACUACAGUUACAUAUUUACUGUUUACAAGGUAAUUUUGCCUAAUUAAAAAAAAAAAUUAAAAAAUGAAAUAAUCACACAAACCCAGCACUCAAACCUGCAUCUUGUCCCGUUGAUUCAGGGAUGUGCCUUAUGUGCCUUGAGGCAGACCAAGCAAAACAAUGCUGCACAGAAGACAUUGCAGACCAAGGCAGUAGUUGCUCAAAUUUAUUUUCUUUUAAAAAAUGUGCGUGAAAGGAGAUGGGGGAGGGCGGAAGGGAAUAUUUAUCAGAAUACCAGAAGACACCUUUCUUGAAACAAAGGCAAGGGGAAUCAUCUCUAUUGCAAAUCUAUCAAGCAGAGAGCAAAUAACAAUAUUUAUAGUCGGACAUUCACAAAUACAAUGUGCUUAAAUAACAACAAAUGCUUACUACAGUUGCUACAGCGUAGCUUAAUAAAAAUUAGCCUUACUUGACAGUCUUGUCAACAUCUUAAGUAAAUUAUCAUAGCGAUGGUCUUUGGAGAAGAAAACCCACACUCCUUGCUAAAACACCUCCUAUCAUUAAUCUUAAACCACUUGAAGAUUAUGAUGGAAAGAAUGGGAUCAGUAACCAUUAUCAUCUCAAAUUGCUGUUAAAAACUCCGCUGUUUAUUUUUGCAACAAAAGCGAAUGUAUCUGGGAAAUGCAGAAAGGGGAAGAAAGGAAAACACAAGAAAGGCAGAACAAUUGAGGCGAAUCCUGUUGCAACCUCGAUGAUAAACACAUGGAAAAAGCUGUUACUGCUCUGCGGAUUGCUGGAAUUUGGGUAGACGUUAGAAAAAUAAACAAAGUGAUGACUCCGCACCAGGUCUGUAAAUGCACUGCUACACUCAAAAAAAACCAAACAAAAAAAAGGCAGCAAAAUGCUGGGUUUAGAAGACUGCGAGCCAGUUUCCUGCAUACUACUAUAAUUAAUUUGCGUGCGGAGAUCAAAGAUCCGAGGGUGAAGGAAAUAAUUGAUUCUGCCAGAAAACGCUUCCCUGGCGCAGCCCACGGCAGGUAAGCUGCUGCGUGGAACUAUUUUUGACGGAACAAAAGCCUGAGCAAACACCUGACGUCAGGGAGCAGCGUUCCCGGGGGAG
This 1114-nucleotide long non-coding RNA is filed under the name Zonotrichia albicollis (white-throated sparrow). RNAcentral's name for it is "lncRNA (ENSZALG00000004842.1)". The record is from RNAcentral. Lineage: Eukaryota; Metazoa; Chordata; Aves; Passeriformes; Passerellidae.